This 378-nucleotide ribosomal RNA is filed under the name uncultured bacterium. Its description in RNAcentral is "bacterial SSU rRNA". It matches the Rfam family "Bacterial small subunit ribosomal RNA", at positions 30 to 410 of the family's 1533-position model. The record is from RNAcentral.
AUUGAACGCUGGCGGCAGGCCUAACACAUGCAAGUCGAGCGUGAAAGUCCUUCGGGAUGAGUAAAGCGGCGGACGGGUGAGUAACGCGUAGGAAUCUACCUAAUAGUGGGGGAUAACGUUUCGAAAGGAACGCUAAUACCGCAUACGUUCUGAGGAAGAAAGCAGGGGCUCGCAAGACCUUGCGCUAUUAGAUGAGCCUGCGUCCGAUUAGCUAGUUGGUGGGGUAAAGGCCUACCAAGGCGACGAUCGGUAACUGGUCUGAGAGGAUGAUCAGUCACACUGGAACUGAGACACGGUCCAGACUCCUACGGGAGGCAGCAGUGGGGAAUAUUGGACAAUGGGGGCGAACCCUGAUCCAGCCAUGCCGCGUGUGUGAAG